GAGUUUGAUCAUGGCUCAGAACGAACGCUAUCGGUAUGCUUAACACAUGCAAGUCGAACGGACUAAUUGGGGCUUGCUCCAAUUAGUUAGUGGCAGACGGGUGAGUAACACGUGGGAAUCUACCCAUCAGUACGGGAAUAACUUUUAGAAAUAAAAGCUAAUACCGUAUAUUCUCUACGGAAGAAGGAUUUAUCGCUGAUGGAUGAGCCCGCGUCAGAUUAGGUCGUUGGUGAGGUAACGGCUCACCAAGCCGACGAUCUGUAGCUGGUCUGAGAGGAUGAUCAGCCACACUGGGACUGAGACACGGCCCAGACUCCUACGGGAGGCAGCAGUGGGGAAUAUUGGACAAUGGGCGAAGGCCUGAUCCAGCAAUACCGAGUGAGUGAUGAAGGCCUUAGGGUUGUAAAGCUCUUUUAGCAAGGAAGAUAAUGACGUUACUUGCAGAAAAAGCCCCGGCUAACUCCGUGCCAGCCGCCGCAGU
This 481-nucleotide ribosomal RNA is filed under the name uncultured microorganism. Its description in RNAcentral is "bacterial SSU rRNA". It matches the Rfam family "Bacterial small subunit ribosomal RNA", at positions 9 to 521 of the family's 1533-position model. The record is from RNAcentral.